Molecule: long non-coding RNA, 963 nt
Organism: Centruroides sculpturatus (bark scorpion)
Lineage: Eukaryota; Metazoa; Arthropoda; Arachnida; Scorpiones; Buthidae
Exons: 3
Source: RefSeq, a predicted model, not a curated record
UAAUAAAUGUGAAUUCUUCUUCCUGGAAAAAGUAAGACAUUCCCUGAAAAUAAGACCUAGCGCAUUUUUCAGAGCAAAAAUUAAUAUAAGACACUGUCUUAUUUUCGGGGAAAUACGGUACAAGGAAGUGACACAAACACUACGGUUCGCUAUAGCACUUCAGAAACAAAAAUGAGUCAUUCUUUUACCCGGAAGAUCUUAGCAUUAUUUAAUGUUUUCAUUAACACUCGGCCAUCCGGCCUUGAAAAAUCACCAUGGAAAGAGAAGAUAGGCAUUAGCACAGCUUGGGUUUCAAAGAAGAUUAAAAGGCAAGAAGAACUUCUAACAGUGAGUAAAUUAUCUAAUUAUACAAAGAAGAAAAUAAUGGCCGUUUUUCACAUCGCCAGCACUAGAAUCAGCACAGAAAUUUAUGAGAUAUCGCCGAUUCUAAGCGUCAGUUGAUGGAGGGAUGAUGGAACGUUCCGCUCCAAGAUUCGCACUGAUGACAGGUAUGUCCUGUAAGUAAGUAAAGAACCGUGUAAAGUAUAAUGUUUUUCCGUUUCAGGACGAUGACGCGAGACAACGCAUCGAGAUCGAAUUCAACCUGUGGAGUCAUUGUUAUCUAGUUAAACAGAAGCAAACCUCCGGAAGCUUUACGGCCUAUUCCAUUUUUGUUUGAAAAGUAGUUACACUAUGUAUCUAUUUAUCAAUAAUUUUACUACAUUUGUGUUAAAGAGGGUGAGCGGACGUAACGGAAAGGACGGAGAGAAAAUAAAACCCACCGGAAUUAUAAGUAAUGGACGUGCGUACGUUAGGAGGACGGAAAGGAAGAGUCGUAUGAAAGGAAAUCCGUUUUGUAUACUUGUAUAUAUUCCAAUAAAUGGGAAAUGACACGUGUUGAUUUCAAUAUAAAAUGGCAAUUAUUAAUUUUAUGACAAAAAUUUAAUAUUGCAUUAAUUUUUCUUCGUGAACAUUGAGUUAAAC